UUCCCCUUCCAUUUUUCUUUUAUUCCUUUGUCUUUCUCUUUUCCAUUUCUAAAAAUUAGGAUAAUAUUCUUUUGCUGGAAUAUUCCCUUUGUGCAGAUCCACUGACACUCUGAUUAUUUCACCCAGCUUCAAGAUGCUAUGGAGGAGCCCCACAGUCAGGAUUCAUUUGGCAGAAAGGUUGAUGCUGUUCCAGAGUUGUGUGCAGGAUUGGAGUGAGAGUCCAGUUAUGGUAUAUUGACCUGAGGUAUUCAGCAGCAAGACAGCAAGAAGAUCCAGGAUUGACUUGUGAGAAGGAAGAGGGGAAGGUGGAUUCCUUGGAAGUUGCCUUUUUAAAGUUCAACAUUUCUCAUCUAACGAAAGCAGCCUUCAUCACCAGAACUUCUGUUCAAACAUAUGUGGAGAUCAAAAAAAGCGAACAAACUCUCAAAGGGAGAAAAAUUCAUAGUAGGAAAAGCCUGGAGCAUACCUUCUGGAAACCUGAGAGGACAGGUGAUUCCCCUUAGGGGAAUCCCCUGUUGGAGCCAAAUGGAAAUACUCAUGGACACCAAGG
This 550-nucleotide long non-coding RNA is filed under the name Chloebia gouldiae (Gouldian finch). Its description in RNAcentral is "Erythrura gouldiae (Gouldian finch) lncRNA (ENSEGOG00005007383.1)". The record is from RNAcentral. Lineage: Eukaryota; Metazoa; Chordata; Aves; Passeriformes; Passeridae.